GCAGUGGUGGUUCACUGGUAGAAUUCUCGCCUGCCACGCGGGAGACCCGGGUCCGAUUCCUGGCCAAUGCA
Non-coding RNA from Danio rerio (zebrafish), 71 nucleotides. The record is from Rfam. NCBI's taxonomy places the organism in Eukaryota, Metazoa, Chordata, Actinopteri, Cypriniformes, Danionidae.